GCCUUAGACCCACCGCUACUGGAAGGUAACUCACCUCAAAGUAGCUGCUGAACUGAUCGGGAACUAACUGACUGCUGCUGCUCCGGGAGUCCUCCGGCUGCAAUUUCCACGACAUACUCAAUCAAACACUGCUAACUGUCCUUUAGGUAAAAUGACCAUUUUACCCCUGGAUUAACUCUAAGCCAAAGCUGGAGUCAACUUUCAGUUGACCCGACUCGCCGAGUGGAUCACCACUCGCCGAGUCCCUAGCAAACCAAUGUCCUGGGUCCCUGGUUCUACUCGUCGAGUCGGGCUAUGACUCGACGAGUUCACCUUCUAACUGCCAUUCAACACCUUCAUCCUACUCGCCGAGUUGUAUGAACAACUCGUCGAGUUCAUCUUCAUCCGAUGAACACUUUAUGCUAAGACUCGCCGAGUUGUAUGAACAACUCGCCGAGUCUGUUCUUGAGCUAUGAAGAUUGCCUUGGACUCGCCGAGUCAGGGCAUUGACUCGCCGAGUCCUAACAUGGGUGAGUUCAGCUCCCAACUCACCGAGUCACCCCCUGUGACUCAAGGCUCAACUCGACACAUGAAGAAGGGACCAAUUCGGUGACUCGCGACCAGACUCGCCGAGUCACCUAUGCGACUCGCCGAGUCGUCGCCAUGCACUCCUUAAAUAUACCGAUUUGCUCGGUUCCAGACCAUGCCAUUCAUAGAUCUGGACUUCUAGGACACGAAUCACACGUAAAGUUUCCAACUUUACGUGUGGAUAUUCACCAAUAUGGAUUAUAAGGCUCAAAAUGUCUCAAAAUGGUAGAUCUAGGGCUAACAAGCCUCAUGAGGCCAAAAAGCUAACAGAUCUGAGCUCCUGGAGCUCAAUCUUACAUAGAUCCAAAGGCCAAACGCCUUAUUACAACAUAUAAUGAACAUGCAAACUUGGGGAAUUGACCAAGAAGGACCCAAAUGAAGUUUUAAGCAUAGAAUCAAGGGGAAAACGGGUUAUACCUCAAAGGAAAUGUUGAAAUGACACAAGGAUGGCUGAUCUCCUUCUCCUCUUCUUGAUCUACUCCUCUUACUCUUCAAAACCUUCAAGAACACACCAAGAACACCUCAAACUCUCAAGGAAACAAGGGAAAACGAUGUAGGGGGAGUUCUGGGGGUGAAUGGGGACGAGUUGGGGCGGAAUGAGGGUUUAAAUAGGGUGCAAACCCUUGAAACUUAGGGUUUCAUCCCGCAGCGGUGACUCGCCGAGUCCAGGAUAUGGACUCGUCGAGUCGCCUACUUAAAACGCGUCCUGAGUCUCGUCCCUACUCGGCGAGUCGGACCCUAUGACUCGCCGAGUCUAAGGCUAAAUUAGGGCAAUGCUCAAAUAAAAUUCACAUACCGGAAACCAGGUGCUACAAAUCUCCCCCACUUAUUUUAGACUUCGUCCUCGAAGUCUGCUGCCUGAUCCUGAAACAGCUCGGGGUAGUGCUCCAUCAUCUCGUCUACCGGCUCCCAAGUCCACUCUGAACCCUUGCGGUGCUGCCAUUGCACCUUCACUAGCUCCACCCUCUUGUUCCUUAAAUCCUUCGACUUCCUGUCGAGGAUUGCGACUGGGCGCUCGAUGUAGUUCAGGCUGUCAUCAACCUGAAUAUCCUCCAAAGGUACUACUGCAGAAUCGUCCACUAGGCACUUCCGCAACUGCGAAACAUGGAAAGUGCUGUGGAUCUGGCUAAGCUCGGCUGGCAGAUCCAGCCUAUAUGCUACCUUGCCCACCCGGGCUAAGACCCUGAACGGUCCGAUGAAUCGCGGGCCCAACUUGCCCCGCUUCCUGAAUCGGAUGACGCCUUUCCACGGUGACACCUUCAGGAGGACCAUAUCCCCGACCUGGAACUCUAAAUCGGAUCGACGCUUGUCGGCAUAACUUUUCUGUCGACUCUGAGCAGUCUGAAGCCUGCUCCGGACCUGCUGUAUCCUCUCAGUCGUCUUGAGCACCACUUCGGUGCUUCCCAUAACUCUCUGGCCAACCUCACCCCAGCAUAUCGGGGUCCUACACCUCCGUCCGUACAACAUCUCGAAGGGAGGGCGGUCGAUACUCGCGUGAUAGCUGUUGUUGUAGGAGAACUCAGCCAAAGGAAGAUAGGUAUCCCAGCUACCACCGAAAUCCAGAACACACGCCCGCAACAUGUCCUCCAAAGUCUGGAUGGUCCGCUCACUCUGUCCAUCUGUCUGCGGGUGAAAGGCGGUGCUGAAAUGCAGACGAGUGCCCAACUCGUCAUGGAAUCUCUUCCAAAACCUGGAAGUAAAACGCACAUCCCUGUCCGAGAUCACCGAUACUGGCACCCCAUGCCGUGCCACAAUCUCCCUGAUAUAGAUGUCGGCCAAUUUCUCGGCCGAUAUGCUCUCCGGAAUCGGAAUAAAGUGAGCACUCUUGGUCAAUCUAUCCACGAUGACCCAAAUCGAAUCCACUCCACGCGCGGUCCUGGGAAGCUUCGUGAUAAAAUCCAUCGUGAUAUCUUCCCACUUCCACAGUGGAAUGUCCAACGGCUGCAUCUUGCCAUGCGGCCUCUGAUGUUCGGCCUUGACCUUCCUGCAGGUCAAGCACCGCUCGACGUACCAUGCCACAUCCCGCUUCAUGCAGGGCCACCAAUAGUCUAGACGAAGAUCCCUAUACAUCUUCGUCGCCCCGGGAUGAAUAGAGAAUCGGGACUUGUGCGCCUCCUCCAUCAAAAUCUGGCGCACGCCCCCGUGAUACGGCACCCACACCCUAUGGUGUAGUGUCAAUAACCCUCGGCUAUCAUAAUCGAAGGAGGAAACCUGACCUACUACGCGCUCGUUCUUCCGAUGCUCCUCCUUGAUAGCCUCCUGUUGAGCUUCCCGAAUCUGCUCCAACAGGGGAGUCACCACAGUCAUCCUCAAACAGGCGUCCCUGAUCGGCGCCGUCUUGCGGCUAAGCGCAUCGGCCACCACAUUGGCCUUUCCCGGGUGGUAAAGGAUCUCGCAAUCAUAAUCCUUCACCACAUCCAACCACCGACGCUGCCUCAUGUUCAGAUUCGGCUGGUCCAUGAGGUACCUCAAGCUCUUGUGGUCCGUGUAGAUGGUACACCGAACCCCAUAGAGGUAAUGUCGCCAAAUCUUGAGGGCAAAUACCACCGCCCCCAACUCCAAAUCGUGCGUCGGGUAGUUCGCCUCGUGAGGCUUGAGCUGCCUCGAAGCGUAAGCAAUGACAUGCCCCCUUUGCAUCAGCACCGCGCCCAACCCAGAAAUGGACGCAUCGCAAUAAACCACGAAAUCCUCUACGCCCUCUGGCAGGGCUAAGAUCGGCGCCUCACACAAUCUCUGUCUCAGCGUCUCAAAUGCAGCCUGCUGCUCGGGUCCCCACCGAAAGACCACGGCUUUCUUCGUCAGCCGCGUCAGGGGCACGGCUAUCUUGGAGAAAUCCUGGAUAAAUCUCCGAUAGUAGCCUGCCAAUCCUAGGAAGCUCCGAAUCUCAGAUGGGGACUUCGGAACCUCCCAUCUCAUCACGGCCUCGACCUUGGCCGGAUCGACCAGAAUCCCGUUCUGGUUGACGAGGUGCCCCAGAAAUUGCACCUCGCGCAACCAAAACUCACACUUGGAGAACUUGGCAUACAAGCUCUCCCUCCUCAGGGUCUCUAACACCUCUCUCAAAUGCUCCUCAUGUUCCUCCCGGGUCUUGGAAUAAACCAAGAUAUCAUCGAUAAAGACUAUCACAGACCGGUCCAGCAUCGGUCUGCAUACACGGUUCAUGAGGUCCAUGAACGCGGCAGGAGCAUUGGUGAGCCCAAACGGCAUCACCACAAACUCGUAAUGGCCAUAGCGCGUCCGAAACGCGGUCUUCUGCAUAUCCUCCUCCCUGACCCUCAUCUGAUGAUAACCCGAACGCAAAUCAAUCUUGGAGAACCAAGAUGCGCCCUGAAGCUGGUCAAAGAGGUCAUCAAUCCUCGGAAGCGGGUAACGGUUCUUCACCGUUACCUUGUUCAGCUCCCGAUAAUCUAUACACAUCCGAUGCGACCCAUCCUUCUUCUUCACAAACAGAAUCGGGGCUCCCCAGGGCGAACUGCUCGGCCGAAUAAAUCCCUUGUCCAGCAGCUCCUGCAGCUGCGUAGACAACUCCUGCAUCUCGGGAGGAGCCAACCGAUACGGUGCUUUGGCUAUCGGAGCCGCACCGGGAACGAGGUCAAUCCUGAACUCCACCUGUCGCUCCGGAGGUAUCCCAGGUAGUUCCUCCGGAAAAACAUCAGCAAAAUCUCGAACCACCGGGACCUCGCUCACGGUCGCCUUACCCGCCUCCCGGGUGUCCAUCACGUACGCGACAUAACCCGCGCAUCCCUGCUGAAGGUAGCGCCUAGCCCUCGCUGCUGAACAUACAGUGGGUCCACACUGCGGCCGCUCUCCAUGAAUCACUAACUCUCCCCCGCUUGGGGUCUUGACUCGCACUAGCUGCUGUGCGCAAUCUAUCACUGCCCCAUUAGGGCUCAACCAAUCCAUACCAAUAAUCACCUUGUUCCCACGCAAUGGAAUGGGAACCAAGUCUACCAGGUAACACUCCUCAAACAGUCGCAGGACACAAUCUCGAAACACCAUCGAUGCUCGCACCGAUCGAUCAUCGGCAAUCUCUACCUCUAACGGGCAAUCUAACUCGCCUGAAGUCUCAUGAAAUCUCUUGCUAAGAGCAAGAGAAACGAACGAUCGGGAUGCACCCGAGUCGAACAAUACCUGAACCGGGAUGCCGUUCACAUGGAACGAUCCUAAUACACAUGUAUACACACGGAGCACAUAUCAAUAUCAUAACAACGUAAAAUAAAAGAUAGAAGGAAGGAAUCAUACCCGUCACCACAUCGGGCGCGGCGCGUGCCUCCUCGGCAGUCAACUGAAAUGCCCGACUCCUCACCACUGGAGCCUCUGCCUUGCCCUGACGGCCAUCCGUGAUCCGCAGGGUCGCUGGAGCUGGCGCCUUCACUGGCGCUGAAGCUGUCAACAUGGGGCAAUUGGCCUUCUUGUGGCCCCUCUGGUUGCAGUGGAAACACAGCAACUCCGAUGUCUGAAUAACGGUCGCAGGAGCAGUGCAAUCCCUGCUGAUAUGCCCAAACUUGCCGCACUUGUAGCAGCCUGACGAUCCCAUCCUGCACGCCCCCUCGUGCGGCCUGCCGCACCUCCUGCAGCGGCUCGGUCCCGACUGGCCUUUCGGCCUCCCAUCUGAUCCCUUGGGCUUCUUCCCCGAAGCCCCCGAUGACUGACCAUCCUCAAGUUUCCGUUUCCGGAUGUGCUCCAAAUCUAUCUCUCUCUCCCUAGCCCUGGCAAUCAUGGAGUCCAGGGUAGGGCAAGCCGAAAAACUAACAUGCUCCCGAAUGUCAGCUCGUAGCAUAUCAUGGUAACGAGUCCUCCUCAUAUCCUCGUCACCUGCAUACUGGGGCACCAAUAAAGCCCUCUCCCGAAACUUGGCGGUGAUCUCCGCCACGGUCUCUGUCGUCUGCCUCAUGUCUAAGAACUCCCUGGCCAGCUGCUGAAGCUCGACCGCUGGCGCAAACUCUGCCCUGAACCUAGCCACAAAGUCCGACCAGGUCAUUGCCUCGAUAGCCGAGGCUCCCAUCGAGUCACCCACUGACUCCCACCAAUCUCGGGCCCGGUCCCGUAAACACCCUGCUGCGUACCUCACCUUCGACCCCUCGGGGCAGAAGCUGAUCAACUGGGCGGACUCGAUAUCCGCAAUCCACCGCCUGGCGACAAUGGGGUCCUUCACCCCAUGGAAAUCCGGCGCACCACUGCUCCUGAAGUCCUUGAAGGACAGUGUGCGAGAUCCUGACUGGCUAGAGGCCAAGUCGCUCCUGAAUGCCCGUAGGCGAUCCUCCAUCAUCUCCACGAUCCCUUCCUUGAUCGACCCAAAGAUGAUGGGGGUCGACUCAAGGAUGCCCCUAGUGAUCUCCGACGUGAUGAACUCACGUAGCCUCUCCUCAAUCGGCUCGGUGCCAGAUCCCGAACCUGACCCCUCUCCUGACCCGCCAUCUGUCGGUCUCGGUCGAAGUACCACCAUUCUGCAAAACAUCAAUAAUAAUCAUUAGUGGUACUGCUACUUUCUGAGGGAUCUCAACUACUUACAGGUUCCUUGGUCUCGUCUUGGCCUUCCUCGGCUCGGGUACGGAUCCUCUGCUUUCAGUAGUACGGGCCCAUACUACCUUCCACAUCUAUCCGUACCUUCUCCGAGGAAUUCCUCGACUCCACCAACUCCCCUCUACUACUGCUACUCUCCGAUAUUCUCACCCUAGGCUUGCCCUAGGGAGAACUCAAGUUCAACACAACUGGUCCUCAGCUGCUGUAGGUCUCCUCAUAAUGCCAGUUAGCCACCACCUAAACACCACCACCUGUGAUGAGGAUUAGAUCAUCCUUCAAGUAAAAGGCCCGUCCCUACAACGGUUGGACUCAAACAAGAGCUGCGCAAUAGGGCCAGUUCCAACACUUUGGGAUUAUUCAACCCCGAUUACAUGUGGUGUGACGUGUUUACCUAGUGGCUCACUCCCAUUACUCAGAAUCCCACCGAGCACGAAGCAAGCAGCAUUCGGAUAAGGAAAAACAGACUCAAGCCAAAACUGUUCUUAGAACAAGAAACGACACUUAACAUAGGAUGCUAAGCUCAUACUAUCAGGCAUAACCUAAACAGGCUACCCUACUGCUGUCUACUCAAUUCUAGCAUGCAAUAUUCAAUAAGCUGUAACAAAUAAACAGGCACAUAAGGCAUCACUCCUAGAUCCUUAGCCUAUUCUAGCAUGCAAUAUUCAUAAAGCUGAUAAACAUAACAUAAACUUGUAUGGGUACUAUGGGGAAUACUUACUUGAGCUCGGCCGGUCGCGCACGUCACACACUUUACUCUUUCUCGUGACUCUUUUCCGGGUUUUAAAGAAUAAUUUCUUUUGGAAAAAUCUUUCAAUCCCUCGGUUUGAGUCCAAACACUCCCGAAGGCGUGUCCGAAUCCCUCAAACCAGGGCUCUGAUACCAACUUGUAACGACCCAAAUUUUUUUUUUUUUUUGAUAUUACUUUAGAAAACAUUAAUAAAUAAAAACAUUGUCUAAAUAAAAAGAAACAUUGUUUGUUCACACCAUAACACAUUGCAACCAUGUUCUCAAAAGCCAAACCGUACAUCCCAUCAAAUAUCAGAGUACAAUCCCAGUAAAUCUCAUAAAUGCGGAAACCGAAGAGUGUGUGUAUGACGUGCCGCUACCGCGCCGGCUCCUUCCCCUUCGAUGCAGAGGUACCUGAAAACAAAACUGUAAACGUAAGCACAAAGCUUAGUGAGUUCCCCCAACGUACCGCAUACCAUACAAACACAUAACAUAUAUACUGCCAGGCUAUUCUGGGGUGCCUGACUACCCGGUACGGCCAUUCUGGGGUGCCGACCUACCCAUACGGCCAUUCUGGGGUGCCGUCUUACCCGUGUCAAGCCAUUCUGGGGUGCUGACUACCCAUCGGUCCUAACAACCGAUCCUCGGGGACUAUUUCACCCCUACUACUACGAUCACAUAUAACAUAACAAGCCAGCAUGCAUACAUAUCGUCACAUACUGUCAGACGUAUCUGGGGUGUCUGACUACCCUUCGGUCCGAACAACCAAACUCUACUACUAUCACAUACAGCAUAUCAUGCUAGCAUAUAACAUGUCAGGUACUAGCGAACUUAGAUGAUAUCACAAAGACAAUCAUCUAUCAUACAACUCCUACUGGUGGGUCGGCAUUGUGGCCUUAGACCCACCGCUACUGGAAGGUAACUCACCUCAAAGUAGCUGCUGAACUGAUCGGGAACUAACUGACUGCUGCUGCUCCGGGAGUCCUCCGGCUGCAAUUUCCACGACAUACUCAAUCAAACACUGCUAACUGUCCUUUAGGUAAAAUGACCAUUUUACCCCUGGAUUAACUCUAAGCCAAAGCUGGAGUCAACUUUCAGUUGACCCGACUCGCCGAGUGGAUCACCACUCGCCGAGUCCCUAGCAAACCAAUGUCCUGGGUCCCUGGUUCUACUCGUCGAGUCGGGCUAUGACUCGACGAGUUCGCCUUCUAACUGCCAUUCAACACCUUCAUCCUACUCGCCGAGUUGUAUGAACAACUCGUCGAGUUCAUCUUCAUCCGAUGAACACUUUAUGCUAAGACUCGCCGAGUUGUAUGAACAACUCGCCGAGUCUGUUCUUGAGCUAUGAAGAUUGCCUUGGACUCGCCGAGUCAGGGCAUUGACUCGCCGAGUCCUAACAUGGGUGAGUUCAGCUCCCAACUCACCGAGUCACCCCCUGUGACUCAAGGCUCAACUCGACACAUGAAGAAGGGACCAAUUCGGUGACUCGCGACCAGACUCGCCGAGUCACCUAUGCGACUCGCCGAGUCGUCGCCAUGCACUCCUUAAAUAUACCGAUUUGCUCGGUUCCAGACCAUGCCAUUCAUAGAUCUGGACUUCUAGGACACGAAUCACACGUAAAGUU
RNAcentral lists this long non-coding RNA (8440 nucleotides) under Lactuca sativa (garden lettuce). RNAcentral's name for it is "long non-coding RNA (LSAT_LNC001722)". Lineage: Eukaryota; Viridiplantae; Streptophyta; Magnoliopsida; Asterales; Asteraceae. The record is from RNAcentral.